UUGUGCUAGAUGGGGAGUCAGCGGUGCCCUGUAACCUGCAAUCCGCUAUAGCAGGAUCGAAUUCCUUGCCUCGGCCUUAACUUGUGGGGUCUGACCUAUGUAAGUGGUGUUGAGGGUUGGGUCCCACGCAAUAAGAGCUUGUGAACCUCGUCAGAUCUUGACCGAAGCAGCGAUAAGCAAGUACUCUUAUGUGCCGUGGAAAAAUCUGGCCUGAGCUAACUGCAUAGGUAACGCUCAUACGUUAUUGUCAAAGCAAGGUGCACAA
This 265-nucleotide signal recognition particle RNA is filed under the name Clostridium cavendishii DSM 21758. RNAcentral describes it as "Bacterial large signal recognition particle RNA". It matches the Rfam family "Bacterial large signal recognition particle RNA". From Rfam's summary of the family: The signal recognition particle (SRP) is a universally conserved ribonucleoprotein involved in the co-translational targeting of proteins to membranes. Archaeal SRP consists of a 7S RNA and homologues of the eukaryotic SRP19 and SRP54 proteins. The record is from Rfam by way of RNAcentral. Lineage: Bacteria; Bacillati; Bacillota; Clostridia; Eubacteriales; Clostridiaceae.